Molecule: ribosomal RNA, 733 nt
Filed under: uncultured eukaryote
Lineage: Eukaryota
Description: bacterial SSU rRNA
Rfam family: Eukaryotic small subunit ribosomal RNA
Source: RNAcentral
AUUUCCCAAGGGCUUUAAUCCUUGUCUGAGGAGCUUGGAUGCACUUUACUGUUGUGUCCUUGCGAGUCAGAACAUUUUACCUUGAAAAAAUUAGAGUGUUCAAAGCAGGCUAUACAGCUUGAAUAGAUUAGCAUGGGAUAAUAGAAUAGGACUUUUGGUUCUAUUUUGUUGGUUUUUGAGAACCAGAGUAAUGAUGAAUAGGAACAGUUGGGGGCAUUCAUAUUCAAUUGCUAGAGGUGAAAUUCUUAGAUUGAUUGACGAUGAACUACUGCGAAAGCAUUUGCCAAGGAUGUUUCCAUUAAUCAAGAACGAAAGUUAGGGGAUCGAAGACAAUCAGAUACUGUCGUAGUCUUAACCAUAAACUAUGCCGACUAGAGAUCAGACAGGCUUAUUUUUAAUGACCUGUUUGGCAUCUUAUGAGAAAUCAAAGUGUUUGGGUUCCGGGGGGAGUAUGGUCGCAAGGCUGAAACUUAAAGGAAUUGACGGAAGGGCACCACCAGGAGUGGAGCCUGCGGCUUAAUUUGACUCAACACGGGGAAACUCACCAGGUCCAGACAUAGUGAGGAUUGACAGAUUGAGAGCUCUUUCUUGAUUCUAUGGGUGGUGGUGCAUGGCCGUUCUUAGUUGGUGGAGUGAUUUGUCUGGUUAAUUCCGAUAACGAACGAGACCUUAACCUGCUAAAUAGUGGCUGCCAUGUUUGGUUCCAGUCAAGGGGCGUUUUCUGGCUUGGAGG